Molecule: ribosomal RNA, 376 nt
Filed under: uncultured bacterium
Lineage: Bacteria
Description: bacterial SSU rRNA
Rfam family: Bacterial small subunit ribosomal RNA
Source: RNAcentral
UACGGAGGGUGCAAGCGUUGUUCGGAUUUAUUGGGCGUAAAGCGCGCGCAGGCGGGUUUGUAAGUCAGAUGUGAAAUCUCGGGGCUCAACUCCGAAACUGCGUCUGAAACUACAAAUCUAGAAUCUCAUAGGGGGUAGGGGAAUUUCACGUGUAGGGGUAAAAUCCGUAGAGAUGUGAAGGAACACCUGAGGCGAAGGCGCCUACCUGGAUGAGUAUUGACGCUGAGGCGCGAAAGCGUGGGGAGCAAACAGGAUUAGAUACCCUGGUAGUCCACGCCGUAAACGAUGGGUACUAGUUAUUAGAGGUAUUGACCCCUUUAGUGACGUAGCUAACGCGUUAAGUACCCCGCCUGGGGAGUACGGUCGCAAGAUUAAA